RNAcentral lists this ribosomal RNA (492 nucleotides) under uncultured bacterium. RNAcentral describes it as "partial 16S ribosomal RNA". It matches the Rfam family "Bacterial small subunit ribosomal RNA", at positions 29 to 507 of the family's 1533-position model. The record is from RNAcentral.
AGUGAACGCUGGCGGUAGGCCUAACACAUGCAAGUCGAACGGCAGCACAGUAAGAGCUUGCUCUUACGGGUGGCGAGUGGCGGACGGGUGAGGAAUACAUCGGCAUCUACUUUUUCGUGGGGGAUAACGUAGGGAAACUUACGCUACUACCGCAUAUGACCUACGGGUGAAAGCAGGGGAUCUUCGGACCUUGCGCGACUGAAUGAGACGGUGCCGGAUUAGCUAGUUGGCGGGGUAAAGGCCCACCAAGGCGACGAUCCGUAGCUGGUCAGAGAGGAUGAUCAGCCACACUGGAACUGAGACACGGUCCAGACUCCUACGGGAGGCAGCAGUGGGGAAUAUUGGACAAUGGGCGAAAGCCUGAUCCAGCCAUACCGCGUGGGUGAAGAAGGCCUUCGGGUUGUAAAGCCCUUUUGUUAGGAAAGAAAAGCAGCAGGUUAAUACCCCGCUGUUCUGACGGUACCCAAAGAAUAAGCACCGGCUAACUUCGUG